Molecule: ribosomal RNA, 421 nt
Filed under: uncultured Bacteroidota bacterium
Lineage: Bacteria; Pseudomonadati; Bacteroidota
Description: bacterial SSU rRNA
Rfam family: Bacterial small subunit ribosomal RNA
Source: RNAcentral
AAGGAAUAUUGGUCAAUGGGCGCAAGCCUGAACCAGCCAUGCCGCGUGCAGGAAGACGGCCCUAUGGGUUGUAAACUGCUUUUGUCAGGGAAUAAACCCCCGUACGUGUACGGGGCUGAAGGUACCUGAAGAAUAAGCAUCGGCUAACUCCGUGCCAGCAGCCGCGGUAAUACGGAGGAUGCAAGCGUUAUCCGGAUUCAUUGGGUUUAAAGGGUGCGCAGGCGGAUUGAUAAGUCAGGGGUGAAAUCCCACAGCUCAACUGUGGAACUGCCUUUGAUACUGUUAGUCUUGAGUAUAGUUGAAGUGGGCGGAAUGUGUCAUGUAGCGGUGAAAUGCUUAGAUAUGACACAGAACACCGAUCGCGAAGGCAGCUCACUGGAGUGUAACUGACGCUGAUGCUCGAAAGUGUGGGUAUCAAACA